Molecule: ribosomal RNA, 561 nt
Filed under: uncultured bacterium
Lineage: Bacteria
Description: bacterial SSU rRNA
Rfam family: Bacterial small subunit ribosomal RNA
Source: RNAcentral
CCUACGGGAGGCAGCAGUGGGGAAUAUUGCACAAUGGGCGAAAGCCUGAUGCAGCGACGCCGCGUGAGCGAAGAAGUAUUUCGGUAUGUAAAGCUCUAUCAGCAGGGAAGAAAAUGACGGUACCUGACUAAGAAGCCCCGGCUAACUACGUGCCAGCAGUCGCGGUAAUACGUAGGGGGCAAGCGUUAUCCGGAUUUACUGGGUGUAAAGGGAGCGUAGGCGGCAAGACAAGUCUGAUGUGAAAGCCCGGGGCUCAACCCCGGGACUGCAUUGGAAACUGUUUAGCUAGAGUGUCGGAGAGGUAAGUGGAAUUCCUAGUGUAGCGGUGAAAUGCGUAGAUAUUAGGAGGAACAUCAGUGGCGAAGGCGACUUACUGGACGAUAACUGACGCUGAGGCUCGAAAGCGUGGGGAGCAAACAGGAUUAGAUACCCUGGUAGUCCACGCUGUAAACGAUGAAUACUAGGUGUCGGGUGGCAAAGCCAUUCGGUGCCGCAGCUAACGCAAUAAGUAUUCCACCUGGGGAGUACGUUCGCAAGAAUGAAACUCAAAGGAAUUGACGG